RNAcentral lists this ribosomal RNA (482 nucleotides) under uncultured bacterium. RNAcentral describes it as "bacterial SSU rRNA". It matches the Rfam family "Bacterial small subunit ribosomal RNA", at positions 21 to 518 of the family's 1533-position model. The record is from RNAcentral.
GGCUCAGGACGAACGCUGGCGGCGUGCUUAACACAUGCAAGUCGAGCGAUGAAGCUCUUCGGAAGUGGAUUAGCGGCGGACGGGUGAGUAACACGUGGGUAACCUGCCUCAUAGAGGGGGAAUAGCCUUCCGAAAGGAAGAUUAAUACCGCAUAAGAUUGUAAUAUCGCAUGAUAUAGCAAUUAAAGGAGCAAUCCACUAUGAGAUGGACCCGCGUCGCAUUAGCUAGUUGGUGAGGUAACGGCUCACCAAGGCGACGAUGCGUAGCCGACCUGAGAGGGUGAUCGGCCACAUUGGGACUGAGACACGGCCCAGACUCCUACGGGAGGCAGCAGUGGGGAAUAUUGCACAAUGGGGGAAACCCUGAUGCAGCAAACCGCCGCGUGAGUGAUGACGGUCUUCGGAUUGUAAAGCUCUGUCUUCAGGGACGAUAAUGACGGUACCUGAGGAGGAAGCCACGGCUAACUACGUGCCAGCAGCAGC